This 253-nucleotide ribosomal RNA is filed under the name uncultured bacterium. RNAcentral describes it as "partial 16S ribosomal RNA". It matches the Rfam family "Bacterial small subunit ribosomal RNA", at positions 524 to 776 of the family's 1533-position model. The record is from RNAcentral.
UACGUAGGGGGCAAGCGUUGUCCGGAUUUACUGGGCGUAAAGAGCGCGUAGGCGGAAGCUUAAGUGUGGCCUGAAAGCCCCCGGCUCAACCGGGGAGGGUGGCUGCAAACUGGGUUUCUUGAGGGCGGCAGAGGAGAGUGGAAUUCCUGGUGUAGCGGUGAAAUGCGUAGAGAUCAGGAGGAACACCGGUGGCGAAGGCGGGUCUCUGGGCCGAUACUGACGCUGAGGAGCGAAAGCGUGGGGAGCGAACAGG